GACCUUUUGCCAUGAGAAUUUACCCCUAUAUCUAGGGGUGCCGGUUCGCCGGCUAUGGAAAUAAAUGGCCGUCGUAACAAGUCACUCGGACCCGGGGGAGCACCCGGCGCCUCCACCAAAGCCAGGAUUUCUGCCACCAGUUGGCGGAUUUUGGUGGGGGCGAACAGGAUCGACGAGGCGUAAAGGGCUCGCUUUUUCUCGGUAUGGUUCCGCCGUUAUCGGGCUAUCCAAUAGUUGCAAGCGACAACUAUGCUCCGGUUGCUCAGGCUGCGUAACGCAGUUUGAAAAACCAGGUCUAAAGCCACUAGAUCUAAAGCCUGGCGGAUUAAGCCCCUCUAGGCGGGGUUCGGAGGCAUCUGGCAACAGAAGCCUCCACU
This 377-nucleotide transfer-messenger RNA is filed under the name Afipia massiliensis. It matches the Rfam family "Alphaproteobacteria transfer-messenger RNA". Rfam says of the family: Bacterial tmRNA, also known as 10Sa RNA or SsrA, is named for its dual tRNA and mRNA-like properties. Its role is to liberate the mRNA from a stalled ribosome. The record is from RNAcentral. Lineage: Bacteria; Pseudomonadati; Pseudomonadota; Alphaproteobacteria; Hyphomicrobiales; Nitrobacteraceae.